GCGAACCACCACCUGCUCCACAGGUUUGUACAAAUGAUGUUCAAAACUCGGAGCCGUCUGCCGAAGAGUAUGACCCAGAGGCAGUGAGGUAGAUUCUUUUGAGCAACAUGUUGAGAACCUGUUUGCUGCAUCAGAUGCUCAAAAGCGCAAGGAACACAAGACCACUUAAUUUUGGGAUGUUAAAACAAUUGAAUCCAAUGGCACAAUCAAACAGGUAAAACUGAGUGUGAAGGAAGCUAUGAAUCCACCUAACAAAAGAAAGAUCGUACUCAAGUUUAAUAGUGCACUGCAACUAGUUGGGAAUGAAGCAGGUCUACUGAGCGGCGUUAUGGGACUACUAGGAUCUAACUACACCAAAUUCCCAAUCUACGAGAAGGACUGGAGAAAGGUUCGCACCAGGGACAAGGUCUAUAAUGAAUGCGUAAAGGAAAUGUUCUAUUUUGAAGAAGAUAGUAGAGGAAUGAUCAAGCGUAUAAUAUUCAAAAUGCUAGGAAGGGCUUGGAAGGAAACAAGGAAUAGAUUAUACCAUCACUGCUAUGACUCAGGACUUUCUCUUGAAGAAAAUAUUAAAAACCGCCCAUCGGGAAUUACUGCGGACCAUUGGAGAUGGUUUCUCGAUUAUCGCAAUAGUGAAGAGACAUAGGAGAAGUAUAAGAAAAAUGCUGAGAAUCGAUCAAAGUAGCUUUACACCCACACUGGUGAAUCGAAAAGCUUGGCAAGGCUCGGAGAAGAAGAGUCGGAACGACAAGGGAGGAGAGUUAGUAAAGGAGAGUUGUAUCUCUUAACGCACAAAAGAGAUAAUGGUUCCUAUGUCUAUGAUGCAGCUCGAGCUAGUGGAGAAAGAAUUGAGGCUAUUGAGCAACGUGAUGAAUCCUCUAGACUGUUGUCUCAGAAUGAUUCGCUUGCUUAAGUUCUCGGAAAGGAGCACUCGGGUAGGGUGCAUGGCAUGGGUUUGGGGCCGACUUUUAGUCAAGUAUUCGGUAUAAAUUCCCAUCAGCCGAGCAAUGGUUUUAAAAGGAAGAAAACCUAAAGGGUGCUGCUUGAAUUACAAGCAAAGUUGGCAACCGAGAAAUUAAAAAGGAAGGUAGUGGAGAAUGAAGUAGCAGCUGAGAAGACAAAAAGACAGGCAGUAGAGGAUGAAGUAGUAGCCAAAAAGACAAAAAGACAGGUAGUGGAGGAUGAAGUAGCAGCUGGGAAGGUAUGGAUGCAGGCAAUGGAGAGUGCUUUAAUAUGUCUACUUCAAGGACAAGGUGGGAAGCUGCAAUCAGACGUCGCCACAUGGAUGAGUGCGUUGGAGGGACAGAUUAGAAAGUAGAUCUUAGGAUUGUGGAACCUUUUUUUCUUUUAGAUAUACACUCUCUUUUGGUGUUGAUUAUGAA
Arachis duranensis is the source of this 1379-nucleotide long non-coding RNA. RefSeq lists it as uncharacterized. The transcript has 6 exons. Lineage: Eukaryota; Viridiplantae; Streptophyta; Magnoliopsida; Fabales; Fabaceae. The record is from RefSeq and is a predicted model, not a curated record.